AGCGAACGCUGGCGGCAGGCUUAACACAUGCAAGUCGAGCGGGCAUCCUUGUGGUGUCAGCGGCAGACGGGUGAGUAACGCGUGGGAACGUGCCCUUCGGUUCGGAAUAACUCAGGGAAACUUGAGCUAAUACCGGAUACGUGCGAGAGCAGAAAGGUUUAUCUGCCGAAGGAUCGGCCCGCGUCUGAUUAGCUAGUUGGUGAGGUUAUGGCUCACCAAGGCGACGAUCAGUAGCUGGUCUGAGAGGAUGAUCAGCCACACUGGGACUGAGACACGGCCCAGACUCCUACGGGAGGCAGCAGUGGGGAAUAUUGGACAAUGGGGGCAACCCUGAUCCAGCCAGGCCGCGUGAGUGAUGACGGCCUUAGGGUUGUAAAGCUCUUUUCUUUGGGACGAUAAUGACGGUACCGGAGGAAUAAGCCCCGGCUAACUUCGU
Molecule: ribosomal RNA, 436 nt
Filed under: uncultured bacterium
Lineage: Bacteria
Description: partial 16S ribosomal RNA
Rfam family: Bacterial small subunit ribosomal RNA
Source: RNAcentral